GAUGAACGCUAGCUACAGGCUUAACACAUGCAAGUCGAGGGGAAACGAUAUUGGAAGCUUGCUUCCGAUAGGCGUCGACCGGCGCACGGGUGAGUAACGCGUAUCCAACCUGCCCAUCACUUGGGGAUAACCUUGCGAAAGUAAGACUAAUACCCAAUGAUAUCUCUAGAAGACAUCUGAAAGAGAUUAAAGAUUUAUCGGUGAUGGAUGGGGAUGCGUCUGAUUAGCUUGUUGGCGGGGUAACGGCCCACCAAGGCGACGAUCAGUAGGGGUUCUGAGAGGAAGGUCCCCCACAUUGGAACUGAGACACGGUCCAAACUCCUACGGGAGGCAGCAGUGAGGAAUAUUGGUCAAUGGGCGAGAGCCUGAACCAGCCAAGUAGCGUGCAGGAUGACGGCCCUAUGGGUUGUAAACUGCUUUUAUAAGGGAAUAAAGUGAGUCUCGUGAGACUUUUUGCAUGUACCUUAUGAAUAAGGACCGGCUAAUUCCGUGCCAGCAGCCGCGGU
RNAcentral lists this ribosomal RNA (506 nucleotides) under uncultured bacterium. RNAcentral describes it as "bacterial SSU rRNA". It matches the Rfam family "Bacterial small subunit ribosomal RNA", at positions 28 to 521 of the family's 1533-position model. The record is from RNAcentral.